UACGAAGGGGGCUAGCGUUGCUCGGAAUCACUGGGCGUAAAGCGCACGUAGGCGGCUUCUUAAGUCAGGGGUGAAAUCCUGGAGCUCAACUCCAGAACUGCCUUUGAUACUGAGUAUCUUGAGUACGGGAGAGGUGAGUGGAACUGCGAGUGUAGAGGUGAAAUUCGUAGAUAUUCGCAAGAACACCAGUGGCGAAGGCGGCUCACUGGCCCGUAACUGACGCUGAGGCACGAAAGCGUGGGGAGCAAACAGG
This 253-nucleotide ribosomal RNA is filed under the name uncultured bacterium. RNAcentral describes it as "partial 16S ribosomal RNA". It matches the Rfam family "Bacterial small subunit ribosomal RNA", at positions 524 to 776 of the family's 1533-position model. The record is from RNAcentral.